This 303-nucleotide ribosomal RNA is filed under the name uncultured bacterium. Its description in RNAcentral is "bacterial SSU rRNA". It matches the Rfam family "Bacterial small subunit ribosomal RNA", at positions 355 to 674 of the family's 1533-position model. The record is from RNAcentral.
UGGGGGAUAUUGCACAAUGGGGGAAACCCUGAUGCAGCGACGCCGCGUGGGUGAAGAAGUAUUUCGGUAUGUAAAGCCCUAUCAGCAGGGAAGAAAGAAGACGGUACCUGACUAAGAAGCCCCGGCUAACUACGUGCCAGCAGCCGCGGUAAUACGUAGGGGGCGAGCGUUAUCCGGAUUCACUGGGUGUAAAGGGAGCGUAGACGGCCGUGCAAGCCAGGAGUGAAAGCCCGGGGCCCAACCCCGGGACUGCUCUUGGAACUGUGCGGCUAGAGUGCGGGAGGGGCAGGCGGAAUUCCUGGU